This 438-nucleotide ribosomal RNA is filed under the name Triticum aestivum (bread wheat). RNAcentral describes it as "partial small subunit ribosomal RNA". The record is from RNAcentral. Lineage: Eukaryota; Viridiplantae; Streptophyta; Magnoliopsida; Poales; Poaceae.
AUGUGGGCCCUCCGCGAGCUGGCCGGCGCGGCGGAGGAUUUCGCCGACGCCGCCGAAGAGGCAGUUCAGCUUCUCAUCAGGAUCCGCACCGCCAGCGGCCGGGCGGCGCGCGCCUCCGUCACAGCCGUCUCCAUCCUCCUGGCCGGCGUGCGCGACGUCGCAGCCGCCUUCGCGCCCGUCGUCCAGGUCGUCGCCAAGUUCUUCCGGCGCUCCCGCCCCAAGCCGUCCCGGCAGGAACGCCGCCGCAAGAAGAGGGACGCCAAUCGCGAGGCCCGCAAGCGCGAGAGGGAGGACAAGGCCUCCGUGCGCUCCCCAGCGUCCCGUGUCCCGCCCGCGCCCCAGCCCGUUCUCCCACCCCAUCCCCGUGCCGGAUCUCGCCGCCUCCGCCGCCGUGGGUCUGCCGCCUCCAACGGCUAUUCCACGGGUUCCGAUGUCUGA